Molecule: ribosomal RNA, 400 nt
Filed under: uncultured bacterium
Lineage: Bacteria
Description: bacterial SSU rRNA
Rfam family: Bacterial small subunit ribosomal RNA
Source: RNAcentral
GGGAUAUUGCACAAUGGGGGGAACCCUGAUGCAGCGACGCCGCGUGGGCGAUGGAGUACUUCGGUAUGUAAAGCCCUAUCAGCAGGGAAGAAAAUGACGGUACCUGAAAAAGAAGCCCCGGCUAACUACGUGCCAGCAGCCGCGGUAAUACGUAGGGGGCAAGCGUUAUCCGGAUUUACUGGGUGUAAAGGGAGCGUAGACGGAAAGGCAAGUCAGGAGUGAAAGGCGGGGGCCCAACCCCCGGACUGCUUUGGAAACUGUAUGGCUGGAGUGCAGGAGAGGUAAGUGGAAUUCCUAGUGUAGCGGUGAAAUGCGUAGAUAUUAGGAGGAACACCAGUGGCGAAGGCGGCUUACUGGACUGUAACUGACGUUGAGGCUCGAAAGCGUGGGGAGCAAACAG